RNAcentral lists this long non-coding RNA (969 nucleotides) under Salmo salar (Atlantic salmon). RNAcentral describes it as "lncRNA (ENSSSAG00000112046.1)". Lineage: Eukaryota; Metazoa; Chordata; Actinopteri; Salmoniformes; Salmonidae. The record is from RNAcentral.
UAAAAAUAAUAAUAAUUCAGUGUGUUUUUUUAUUUAAUUACAGCUGCAUAGCUAAUGUUAUUAUUUGGUGUACAAACACUUUUUCAUAUCAAUAUUGUACAUACAUGUGAUUGUAAAAGUUUUGUAUAUUUUGGUUUGGCCCAUCGCGGGUUAUCUGUAUAUCCGUACCCCCUCAUUGUUCUCUUUUGCCUGACCUUCGGCAUAGCAAGGUAUGUUGUCCUUGGCUCCGAAAUUGUUCAAUAUAAAACCGUGGUAAUGUUACACAAUGUACUGUUAUGCUACCAUAAGUUUGUUACAAUGUGGAUAAUAUAAAGAUUUCUGUUAACAAGUUUCCCCGAGCUCGUUAACUAGGAUACCUAUGUUAACAUGUGAGUACUUGGGACAGUGGUUGAGUGAGUGUCCAUGUGCUUGCGCAGGUGCCGGAGAGCUGUGACUGCGCCAAGGGCUAAAGUAUUGUGUGUUGUUUCUUCGUGUGCAGGGCAAAUAAAAAUAAUUCAACCAGCAGACCUCCAGUUGUGGCAGUGUCCUAAUUAAAAGUACACAACGCAGAACGAACCACGCUACACGUGCAUUGGAGAGACAGAUGCCAACAAGAUAAAAAUACAUUUGAAAUGUCUUUAUUAGUUUGGAACUUUUACAGCCAGAAACAGAAUUACCCACCAAACCAGGACCAAGCGGCGGAAGAGGAAGGAGCAGCAGGACUACUGCGUUAUGGACAAAUGGACAUGGGAACAGAUCCUGGACGGAGAGGGACCAUGGACUCAGGCUGGGGAUUAUCGCCUCCCGCAGUGGGAGAUUGAAGCGGCGAGAGCGGAGAGGCGAUACUACGAGGAGAGAGAGCGCAACGAGCGCGAGAGGCAGCCCCAAUAUUUUUUUGGGGGGGGGCACACGGGACAGUCGGUGGAGCUGAGGUCGGAACCAGAGCCAGUCGGGAUGACAUUGGAGGUGAGCGAGGGCUAUGAGACAGAG